AUGGAGUGCAGAUGCAACAGUUGGGUAACUAGUGUGCAGGCAUACACGGGCAACAUUGCGGACACUGUUCAGGAAGCGAGAAUGCAGAGUUUCCUUGGUGAUGUCAAGCACUUCAGGGUUGUAGAUGCUGCCAUCAAACACCCGCUGAUGAUCAGCCCAGAGGAGAAGGGGGAGGUGUUCAGCAAUGUGGCUUCACUGGCUCCCACUUUGUCUCCAGUCUUAAUGAGCUGCACAUCACUCAGGAUUUCAAUUGCGCCCCUGGAGAUUUUAGUGGUGAUGCCUAAAGCCUGGAAAAAGGAGGUCUUCUUGGGCCCCAGACCAGUGUUCUGGGCAAGCACAGUGACUUCACACAGGGCUAUGGCAGCAGCAUGGGCAGCAGCUGGCACCUUACUGGCCAGAAGCAUGUCCUGAACUCAGUGAGGUCCUCCUUGGUGAAUACAAAGCCCAUGUUCCCCCGGAUGUGAGGCAACCGUUUCUCCAGGACUGGGUGGUUUUCGGAUGGCCUUGCAUGUGCAUCAUGGUGUUCUUGCCCGUCAGCACCACGGCCUUCCCGCGGAGGGACAUGUGGAUCUGCUGCAUCUGAUUGGAGCCCACAUUGUCUGCUCCCACAAUGAAGCAUUUCAGAUAAUCAUCCAGAAGUUGGAUUAUCUUAAGGAAGCAGUUGGACUUCCGGGUUGCCCCGUCUUCCCUGGGCAUCACGGCAGUGCGUCCGGAAUUGCCACGCAGGGUUUAAAGAUGAUGUCACUCACACGAGGACGCCUGGUGAGAGCUUAAAUUUCACUUGAGGAUAUCCCAGGAAUGGAAUUGGAUCUCAGGAUGGAUGAAUGUUUAACAUUUUUUUUUUUCCUUUUUAAGUCUGCACCCAUGGCAUAUGGAGGUUCCCAGGCUAGGGGUUGAAUCAGAGCUGUAGCGGCUGGCCCAAGCCACAGCCAUGACAAUGCAGGAUCUGAGCUGUGUCUGCAACCUACACUCAUGGCAAUGCCGGAUCCUUAACCCACUGAGCCAGGCCAGGGAUUGAACCCAUGUCCUCAUGGAUGCUAUUCGGAUUCUUUAACUGCUGAGCCACAGUGAGAACUCCUGAAUGUUUAACAUUUUAUGAAACUGCCAAACUGUUUCCAAAGUAGUUGUACUGUUUCAUGGUCCCACCAGAAUUGUAUGAGAGUGUUAGUGAUCCCACAUGUUUACCACCAUUUAGUGAUCACAGUCCUUAGAGCUUAGGCAUUCUAGUGUUAGUGAUAUCUCACUGUAGUUUUAAAAAAUAGCUUUAUUACGACAUAGUUCAGGGACUUCCUUUCAUGGCUCAGUGGUUAAUGAACCUGCCCAGGAUCCAUAAGGAUGUGGGUUCCAUCCCUGGCCUCACUCAAUGGGUUAAUGAUCUGGCAUUGCCGUGAGCUGCAGUGUAGGUCGUAGACACAGCUCUGAUCCCUCGUUGCUGUGGCUAUUGUAUAGGCUAGCAGCUACAGCUCCGAUUCAACCCCUAGCCUGGGAACAUCCAUAUGCUGCAUGUGUAGACCUAAAAACACACACACACACACAAAAAAGUAUAGUUCACAUGGGAGUUCCCACUGUGGCUCAAUGGGUUAAGAACCUGACUAGUAUCCAUGGAGAAUGCGGGUUCAUUCCCUGGCCCCACUCAGUGGGUUAAGGAUCUGGUGUUGCCAUGAGCUGCAGUGUAGGUCACAGAUACAGUGCAGCCCUAAAAAGGAAAAAAAAGAAAGAAAAUGAACCUCAGGUUUUUAUGAUGGCUUUAUUUAUUUAUUUAUUUUUGUCUUUUUGUCUUUUUAGGGCUGCACUUGCAGCAUACAGAGGUUCCCAGGCUAGGGGUAGAAUUGGAACUAUAGCUGCUGGUCUAGGCCAACAGCCACAGUAACGCCAGAUCCGAGCCUCAUCUGCGACCUACGCCACAGCUCAUGGCAAUGCCAGAUCCUUAACCCACUGAGGAAGGCCAGGGAUCGAACCUGCGUCAUCAUAAAUGCCAGUCAGGUUUGUUAACUGCUGAGCAACGACGGGAACUCCUAUGACGACUUUUUUUUUUUUUUUUUUUUUUUUUUUUUUUGUCUUUUUGCCUUUUCUAGGGCCGCUUCCCAUGGCAUAUGGAGGUUCCCAGGCUGGGGGUCAAAUCGGAGCCGUAGCCACCGGCCUACGCCAGAGCCACAGCAACUUGGGAUCAGAGCCGCAUCUGCGACCUACACCACAGCUCACGGCAACGCCGGAUCCUGCACCCGCUGAGCCAGCCCAGGGAUUGAACCCAAAACCUCAUGGUUCCUAGUUGGAAUCGUUAACCACUCCACUACGACGGGAACUCCCCUAUGACGAUUUUUUUAAAAAAAAAUUAUUUUUUCCACAUACGAAAGUACACAUAAUCAUUAUAGAAAAAAUUACCAAAAAAAGCAAAAAAAAAAAAAAAAAAAAGGAUAUAGUUCACAUACCAUACAACUUAUCCAUUGAAAUUGUACAAUUUGGUGGCUUUUGGUAUAUUCACAAAGUUGUAUGUCCAAAAACACUAUCAAUUUUAGAACGUUUUCAUUAUCCCUAAAAGAAUCCCUGUACCCCUCAGCAAUCACAACCCCCCAACACACACAACCUCUGGAUUGCCCACUCCAAGCCUUAGGCAACUACUAAUCUGCUUUUGUUUCUAUAGAUUUCACGAUUCUGGACAGUUCAUAUAAGCAUCAUACAACAUGUGGUUUUUGUUGAGUGGUAUCUUUCACUUAGUGUAUUUUCAAGUUUUUUUUAUGUCAUGGUGAAUACCAGCCCUUCAUUCUUUUUCUUUUCUUUUUUUUUUAACUGCUGAAUAAUAUUUCUCUUGUAAAAACAUUCUACAUCUUAUUUAUCCAUUAGUUGGCUGAUAGGCAUUUAGGUAGUUUCCACUUUUGGCUGUGAUGACUGAAGCUGCUAAGAAUAUCUGCACACAAGUUUUUGUGUGGGCAUAUAUUUUCAUUUCUCUUGGUUGUGAAAUGGCUGGAUUAAGUGGUAACUCCAUGUUUAAUCUGUUGUGCUGCCAAACCCUUUUAGAAAAGUGGCUGUACCAUUUUACAUUUCCAGCAGCAGUGUUCCAAUUUCUCCAUAUCCUCACCAACAACCUACUAUCUGUCUUGUUGAUACAGCUACCCUAAUAGGUAUCAAGUACCUAUUAGGUACUGCUAUGGCUGUGCUGCAGCUGUGGUGUAGGCCAGCAGCUGCAGUUCCGAUAUGACCCCUAGCCUAAGAGCUUCCACAUGCCAGGGGUGCGGCCCUAAUAAAAAAAAAAAAUAGUUCCUUUUGGUAUCA
Molecule: long non-coding RNA, 3270 nt
Filed under: Sus scrofa (pig)
Lineage: Eukaryota; Metazoa; Chordata; Mammalia; Artiodactyla; Suidae
Description: lncRNA (ENSSSCG00070014010.1)
Source: RNAcentral